UCCUUGGCUGAUCCUUAUCUCUUCAAGAUGGCAUUUUUUCUUCUCCAUCUCCUUCCUCCCAUGCCAUUUCCAUAUUUCCACCCCAUUUUCACUUGACUCCCAUGCAAUUGAAGAAAAAAGUAGAGAGAAUCAACUAAGGAAAGAAAUGAGAGAAUGAUGGAAGGCUUGGGUAGUAAGUGAUUCAAGAGUAAUUGAAGAAAUAUCAAGUGGGUCUCAAGAUUCAAGAAACAUAAGGUUUUCUGAGUUAAAGAUGACUUGUCCUAGGACGAGGUGCUCCUCCCUAUCCAUUGUGCGAUAGGUUUACCAUGACACUAAAUGUUAGCAACUGUGCCCAGAGUCACUCCGUUAACGGUCAAGGUCUAAUUAUGUGUAUAUGAAUGCUUGAUGUGAAAUGCUAAUACUCAUUUGUCAA
This is a non-coding RNA of Theobroma cacao (cacao), 412 nucleotides long. The record is from RefSeq and is a predicted model, not a curated record. NCBI's taxonomy places the organism in Eukaryota, Viridiplantae, Streptophyta, Magnoliopsida, Malvales, Malvaceae.